This is a ribosomal RNA of Rhinopithecus bieti (black snub-nosed monkey), 97 nucleotides long. The record is from Ensembl. NCBI's taxonomy places the organism in Eukaryota, Metazoa, Chordata, Mammalia, Primates, Cercopithecidae.
GUCUACCACCAUACCACUCUGAACACACCCAAUCUCAUCUGAUCUCAGAAGCUAAAUAGGGUCGGGCCUGGUUUGUAUAAUAACUGGAUGGGAGAAA